This is a long non-coding RNA of Misgurnus anguillicaudatus (oriental weatherfish), 1738 nucleotides long. RefSeq lists it as uncharacterized. NCBI's taxonomy places the organism in Eukaryota, Metazoa, Chordata, Actinopteri, Cypriniformes, Cobitidae. The record is from RefSeq and is a predicted model, not a curated record.
AAAAAAUUAACAUCAUCUUUAAAUAUACUGCAUUCUUUGUUUAUGGUUUUCUAAGUUUCACUUUCACUAAACAUAGUUUUGAAUGUGCUGCAAGUGUUUUCGUUUUCGCUUUCCAAGUUUUCGUUUGCGCUUCGCAAAUUUACGUUCUCCAUUUUGACACAAACCUCUCGUGAGGGGCGGGCUUAACACCGGUUCGCUCUUAUUGGCUUGUGAGAUUUUGAUUGACAGCUCAUUGAACCAGAACCCCGGAACAGAAGGUGGCGGUAGUGCACAAAUAAGCUUGAUGCCAACCGCUUUUAACAAUAACAAGAAGAAGACGAUCGGACUCUGGAGCUGCAAGAAGUCUAAACAAACGGUAAUAAGAGUAUAUUAAAGAACAUUAAUGACAAAACACGGAUAUUUUACACAUCAGCAGAAGAAUAACAAUAGUUCAAGAUGAGUAAUCGGGAGGCUCACGGUAUGGAGCAUCAACACCAUCCUCCUCGGCCGGACAAUUGAGGCAGCAUGAGGACCAAAGAGUGUCAUUUCUCCAGAAUUGAGCCUCUAUGGUGUGAUGUUUGGUCAGCCGUCUCUUGUACUAUGAAGAACUGCAAUGGAAGAAGUGACAGUGCUUGAUUCGGCAGGUGAACUGCACCUAUUUUAUGGUGGAACAACUUUUUUAAGAGGACAUUGUUGACAUUGUCACAGAGGAUGAUGGUGUGGUCGUGGUGCCAGAGAUCUAUUGUCCUUUGUCUGACCAAAAGCCUUUGAUAUCACCUUUGAAUGUCCAGGAGUUAUACCAACAGACACUCGAUGUCAUCCAAAGACUCCGCUCCAUUUAAAUUGUAAAAGUCAUUUUUAUGUUUGAAAGAUGAAGUUGGUUCACAGAUGUACUUUUCCUUUAAAACAAUUUCCCAUUUGUAAUCACAAUGGAGACACAUCUCUGACUGCUGGGCUUCCCCUCUUAUUGUGUUCUGAUUCAUAUGCAUCUGCAGGGUUAUUCAUGCCAACACUUUAUACCGUUGUGCUGGUAAUUUAUCUUUAUAUAUCAUGCCUUCUCACUGCGUCUGCCAGCCGGUGCUUUACAUAUCUGAGAGUCAACGCAGCUGAACAUGAAGGACAAAUGCAAUGCAAGACGUUAUGCAUGUUAUAUAUCGGCAUAUGGAUGAUUAGAUUAGAAACUGCUUUCUGUUGGUGUGUUUAAACAUCACAUGACAUAGAAAAUGUACUGUCUUCCAUUUUCUGUUGUGUAAUAAUUCAUAGGAAAAUCACUUUAAACCAUUCAAUCAUUUAUUUUGAGAAAUAACUUUUUGUAACAAAAGUAUUUAAGACUUUUUAAACCAUUUAGUAGCAUGUACAAUCACAAGUGUUUUUUGUCAUCCUCAUCCCAUCUCCAUGUUGUUUCUUUAUUCUGCUGAACACAAGACAUUUUAGAAAAAGAAGACAUUUUAAUAAAUGAUGGUUAGCACACAUGAGACUGUACCCAUUGACUUCCUUAGAUAUUAUUUGUACUUUAGACGUCAAUGGGUACACUCUCCUGUGUGCCUAACACCAUUUAUCAAAAUAUCUUCUCAGCAGAAUAAAGAAACUUAAACAGGUUUACAACAACAUGAGGCUGAGUAAAUGAUAACAGAAUUUUCAUUUUUGGGUGAACUAUCCCUUUAAGACUCUGUAAACCAUUCAGAUGCAUGUAAAAUCAUUAACAACUGUUAAACAGCAUCUAUAAAUGAUAAAAAAGACAUUACUAUUGGGAGAAACA